ACCUGAGUGGCUCAGUUGGUUAAGCAUCCGACUUCAGCUCAGAUCAUCAUCUCACAGCUUGUGGGUUCAAGUCCUGCAUCAGGCU
Felis catus (domestic cat) is the source of this 85-nucleotide transfer RNA. It matches the Rfam family "tRNA". Rfam says of the family: Transfer RNA (tRNA) molecules are approximately 80 nucleotides in length. The record is from Rfam. NCBI's taxonomy places the organism in Eukaryota, Metazoa, Chordata, Mammalia, Carnivora, Felidae.